Molecule: ribosomal RNA, 440 nt
Filed under: uncultured bacterium
Lineage: Bacteria
Description: partial 16S ribosomal RNA
Rfam family: Bacterial small subunit ribosomal RNA
Source: RNAcentral
CCUACGGGAGGCAGCAGUGGGGGAUAUUGCACAAUGGGGGGAACCCUGAUGCAGCGACGCCGCGUGGGUGAAGAAGCGCCUCGGCGCGUAAAGCCCUGUCAGCAGGGAAGAAAAUGACGGUACCUGAAGAAGAAGCCCCGGCUAACUACGUGCCAGCAGCCGCGGUAAUACGUAGGGGGCAAGCGUUAUCCGGAUUUACUGGGUGUAAGGGGGGCGCAGAUGGCGAUGCAAGCCAGGAGUGAAAGCCGGGGGCCCAACCCGGGGACUGCCCUUGGAACUGCGUGGCUGGAGUGCAGGAGGGGCAGGCGGAAUUCGUGGUGUAGCGGUGAAAUGCGUAGAUAGCAGGAGGAACACCGAUGGCGAAGGCGGCCUGCUGAACUGCAACUGACAUUGAGGCCCGAAAGUGUGGGGAGCAAACAGGAUUAGAUACCCCAGUAGUC